GAUACACAAAAACCCACUCUUCACUCUUCAAAUCUCAUUUAUAGAUCUGAGAUCUCAUAUUCAUUAUUCAUCUUUUUCUUUUUUUUUAAAGGUGUUUCAUGAUUCAUUUUGCUUUCUCAAUUUCUCUACUCACACAACUGGUUCGGUUGCUCGUUUUGCCCCCACAACAACACCGAUCAUUUUCUUUAGUGAAACGGGUAUUGGAAUUGUUACUGAAUUACCAAUCCCAAAAUGACAAGUUGCAGGGAAUUGGCAGUUUUGGUUGUAGUAAGAUUGGAUUCUUGAGGUGGCUCUUUUGGUUGUCCAUGUGCUGCUCCUAAGCCUGUCAGUGGUUAUCUUUUUGUAAUGACUAUCCACUUCUUCUGGUUCACUGGUAAGAAUUAUAUGAGUCUAUUAAAAAAAAAAAAAAAAAUUCUUCAACUUCUAAAGAAGUCAUGUCUUAUGAAAAAAAAAAUUGAUAUUUACUUAUUCUUACAGAUUGUAAGAUAUUGGUAAGGGUAUGAUUUGGGCUUAUAGUUGGCAAGGGUAUGCCUAACAGGUUCAUGAUGCAGGGGGAUGCCCUUCUUAAUACUUGAAAUUAAUACCUUAUGCCUAGCAGGUUCACAAUGUAUAGGGGGAUGGCCCUCUUAAUACUUGUAAUGUUACUUUUCUAAUAUGUAAGAAAAUGCUUGGGGUAUGCUCUGGGCUAUAAUUGUGCUGAAUUGUUUCUUUGUAUGAUUUUGUUUUACGUAGUAUUUAGCUUUGUUUAAUA
Cornus florida is the source of this 751-nucleotide long non-coding RNA. RefSeq lists it as uncharacterized. The transcript has 3 exons. Lineage: Eukaryota; Viridiplantae; Streptophyta; Magnoliopsida; Cornales; Cornaceae. The record is from RefSeq and is a predicted model, not a curated record.